Molecule: regulatory RNA element, 118 nt
Organism: Lachnospiraceae bacterium
Lineage: Bacteria; Bacillati; Bacillota; Clostridia; Lachnospirales; Lachnospiraceae
Rfam family: FMN riboswitch aptamer (RFN element)
About the family: The RFN element is a highly conserved domain that is found frequently in the 5'-untranslated regions of prokaryotic mRNAs that encode for flavin mononucleotide (FMN) biosynthesis and transport proteins. This element is a metabolite-dependent riboswitch that directly binds FMN in the absence of proteins.
Source: Rfam
UAAUGUCUUCAGGGCAGGGUGAAAUUCCCGAUCGGCGGUUAUAGUCCGCGGGCGCGAAAGCGCGGGGUUUGGUGAAAUUCCAAAACCGACGGUAUAGUCCGGAUUAAAGAAGGUGUAU